RNAcentral lists this long non-coding RNA (3178 nucleotides) under Cricetulus griseus (Chinese hamster). RNAcentral describes it as "lncRNA (ENSCGRG00000024719.1)". Lineage: Eukaryota; Metazoa; Chordata; Mammalia; Rodentia; Cricetidae. The record is from RNAcentral.
AUGAAUGAGCGUGUCCUGCUAGCACUGGGAUGUGUCAGGUCCAAGGACUUGGCAUGUGGUGGCAACGCAAUAGUGGUGAGGACAGCUAGGCAGGGAAAACAGAAAGAGGAUGCUGAAGGAGCCAUACCAGGACAAACCAUGACUAGAGGAUUCUCCCCUUCAGUAAAGGGACCUGUUUAUCACCGUGAAGGGUCUUUUGUUUUAGUUCUAAAAGCCAGAUUGCAGGCAAACACAAGCUUGAGCUGUUUUCAAGUUCUUGAUCUGUUUCUCAAAAAGCUAAGCAAGAAAACAAACUAACAAAUUCGAGAUCAAAAACAUUUUUAUUCAUUUAUCUUUCUCCCACAGAUAAGACUGCAGAAUUAAAUGUCAAGGGACCUUGUGACAUUUCUGGCAGUAGUUCUGUGUACAGCUUUUAACUAGUCAAUUUUAAUCCAACUUAGUAGGGAGUUCAGAAAAGGCUUUGGGCUAGUCCAUGGCUGGAAAGACAUUGCCAUGAACUCAGCCAAAUACACAUGGAUACAUAAAUAAGGGAAGAAGAAUUAAGAUUGGUUUUGGCCCAACGUUUUUAAUAAAUUAAAAAGAUGAAACCUAAGAUUUAAUUAAAAAUGUCCCUAUAUUAGGACUGAUGCUAUAAUUUUUAUGUUACUGCCCAGAACCUAUUAUGCAGUAUUUUCAAUAGGAGAAGGAGAGGUGUUAUAAUUUUAAUUUUUUUUACAUUUUUUUCUCUUUUUAUUAUUAUUAUUAUUAUUAUUAUUAUUAUUAUUAUUACUAUUAAUUCAAGUUAGGGAACAGGCUUGUUUCACAUGUAAUUCCCCUCUCCCUCUCCCUCCCCUCACCCCCAUUCCUUCUCCCCCAUAUAAAGUAAUUCCCCUCUCCCUCUCCCUCCCCUCACCCCCAUUCUUUCUCCCCCAUAUAAUUUUAAAUUUAAGGAAUAAGAGAGAAAACUUUUUUCUUAUAUCCUGAGUUCAAACAGUGGUGGCCUGUGUAUUUCAAUAGCACAUUUUUCUAAGACAAGACAACUUUAUAAUUUAAGUCCUGAUUCCUUGAUAUAACACACUUACUUAUAUAACGAAUGGAGUAUAUCCACCAUCCUGCUCAGGCAAAAAAAAAAAAAGCCUUGCCCCAAAGCUAAUGUUCUCAGCAACUUCAAGUGCUACAGUGAUGUUUCAUCCCAUUAGUAAUUUGAGCAUAAAUUUCUUGUAAUAAACUUGGAAUCGCCUGAUCUGGUCUCAUGAGUAUUGAGUCAUGUCAAGUCCCUUUGCCAAACACACAUAUCAUGUAGGGAGAAAAAUGCCACAGAAUGAAUCCUAAGAGUUACAGAGAAACAUCCAUACACGAUGUCUCCACUGCUCACAUUAGGAAUCAUCAUCUGACCUGGUCUUUGCUUUGAUACAGAAUGUUCCUCAAAGGACAUGUGCUGCAGAUUUUACCAGUGUGUGACUGUCAGGGGAGGUGACUGAAUAUUUAAGCUACAGAGCCUAACAAGAAGAAAUUAGGUUACUGGGCAUCCCCUUGAAGGAGAGAAUGGGACACCGCCCCUUUCUCUCUCUGAUUCUGGACUCCCGGGAAGUGAACAGUUUCCCUUGGCCAUGCACUUCCUGCCAUGAUGAACGCCCAUGCCCUAGCCCUACAGUAGCCUGGUCCAUUCUAAACAUAUCUUCAACCAAGCCCUUCGAAUGCUUUCUCACUCGGAUGGCUCCAUAACCCAGAGGACUUCAUCAGCCUUCAUACUCGUACUCUUCCCAUCCUGCCCCCAUCUCGUCCCUGUCCUGCUCUCCUCCUCUUCAUGUGUGGUGACGGGGAUGGAAUAGUCACCAUGUGCUGCAAUAGAGCUACACUGCCAACCUCAGGCAUCUCCCCUGUAUUCUUCUCUCCUGCCUUCCUACAGCACUGCAUUUAGAGUAGUCGUCAGUAGAGCCUUCACUGGCACUUUACUUUGCUUUUUAUAAAUUUCAUUUUGCCAAGGAGGCUGCAUAUUUCAUCUGGGACGAUUUUUGAACCCAUGUGGGGAACUCAGUAGACACAGACCAGUCACCAACAGGCCAGCAUUAGAAGUGGUAGAAAAGCAAAGCUGAGCCAGGCGGCGAUGAUGCACAUUUUUUAUUGCAGCACUCAAUUAGGAUGCAGAGGCAGGCAGAUUUCUAAGUUUGAAGCCAGGCUGGUCUCCAGGUCGAGUUACGGGGCUGCACAAAGAAACUCUGUCUCGAAGAGAAAAAAAAAAAAAAAAAAAAAAAAAAAAAAAAAAACAGAAAAGAAAAGCUGAGGCCAGCUGUGGUGGCACAGAGUGGUAACUCUCUGUCACUUGGGAAGCUGGGGUAGAAGGAUCAUGAGUUCAAGAGCAACCUGGGCUACACAGUUGAAUCAAGGUCACACUAAGGUACAAAGUGAGACCCUGUCUCUAAAAGAAGAAAAGAAAGACAAUAAGUAAGAGCAGUAGAGUAAUAGAUACAAUUGAUACAGGGAAAGACUAACCCCACUGUAGACAGAGUAACUGGAAUACUGAUUUUCUUCUUCAACAGAAAUGAUGAAGCAUGCCGGAGAAAGAAACAAACAUAGUUGUCGCUAAUUCCUUUUGGGCAGUGGUUUCCCGGAAAGCUUCUGAGAUUGAGACUCGAGCUAUAAACCACACAUCAGUUGAAGGACAAGUGUCUGACACCAGACAAAACAUGACAUUAUUCAGAGCUAACUUUGAAGCAAUGGGCUGAGUCUUGAUGGGAAGGUGUGGGAAAGGGCUUUGCCAGGGAAAACAGAACAAACAGAGCAAACUCACAAAGCUCAGAAAUUCCAGAUGCAUGUGGACAGCAGGGAACAUGAGAUGUCGAUCAAAUGCCUUGACUAUCUGCCCAUGGUUGAGUGGCUUUUGCAAUAAAACAUAUAGCAUUGUCAUACCAAAUGGUACAAAAGGCCAAACACAUGAAAUUAAUUAGUUUCAAGAGCCAAGGUGGGUAUGGCUGAUCUGACUGGAACAACACCACUGUAAUCUGAGAAGGUGUCAGUAGCAAUGACACAGACCAAUAGCUCUAAGGAGGAACCACAGUGUAGAAACAAUCAAUCUUCCAGGAGCAGGAGGGAAACACUCCCCAUGCAGCAUGGUGUUGCUCACCAGAAGGGAACCAGGACUCCCAAGUCUGGUACCAAAUGGCAACUGCUGCAUCAGAAACACAAAAUCUACUUUGUG